GGGCCUGUGGUCUAGUGGUUAAAGUGAUUCCACUAAUGACGUCACCCUCACAUGCACAGCUCUGCUGGGCGUCCAAAAAGCAGGGCUUUUUGAGAACGGUGGAGGUCGCCGGUUCGACUCCGGCCAGGCCCA
RNAcentral lists this transfer RNA (132 nucleotides) under marine sediment metagenome. It matches the Rfam family "tRNA". Rfam says of the family: Transfer RNA (tRNA) molecules are approximately 80 nucleotides in length. The record is from RNAcentral.